GGGGAAUUGGGGGGAUUUGGACACGGUCCGGUAAAUUGGGGGAUUUAGGGGGUUCUGUAAAAUGGGAUUGGGGCAUUUUGGCGCGGUAAAAUGGGGGGGAUUUGGGGGUAAAUGGGAGGGAAUUUGGGGAAUUUUGGGAACGGUCAAUAGGGGGAAUUAGGGAUUUGGGCAAUUUGGGGGGGAUUUGGGGUAAAUUGGGGGGAUUUAGGGGGGAUUUGGGGUAAAAUAGGGGGAUUUGGGGUAAAAUGGGGGUAUUUAGGGGUAAAAUGGGGGGAUUUUGGGGUAAAAUGGGGGGAUUUAAGGGUAAAAUAGGGGGAUUUGGGGUAAAAUGGGGCAUUUUGGGAUAUUUGGGGAUAAAUUGGGUGGAUUUGGGGUAUUUGGGGGUAGUUUUGGGGGGGCAUUUUGGGGUAAAUUGGGGUGAUUUAGGGCCAUUUUGGGGUUAUUUGGGGCCAUUUUGGGGUUAUUUGGGGCCAUUUUGGGGUCGUUUGGGGUUAUUUGGGGUGAUUUAUGGUCAUUUUGGUUCAUUUUAGGGUUGUUUGGGGCCAUUUUGGGGACAUUUUGGUCCAUUUUGGGAUGAUUUAGGGUCAUUUAGGGCCAUUUUGGGGUGAUUUAGGGCCAUUUUGGGCUCCUUGUGGCGGCCAUUUUGGAUGGGCUCAUUUGGCUCCGCCCCUUCUCCCACAGAGGCCGAAUUGGAGGCGGGGCUACAGCGCCGGGGGGCGGGGCUUAACCGAGCGCAUCGGCUGCUCCUAUUGGCUGAGGCAGCUGACAGUCAAAGGAAGCAGCUGAAGGCGGCACUUCCUGUCCCGCCCCCACUUCCAGGGCCGCUGGAGGCGGAGCCAGAGCUGGAGGCGGCCGUCGCCAUGGGAACAGAACCGGAAGUGCUGGCAGCGACUCGUGCCCUCUGCCGGAUGCGGGAGGAAGCCAUGAUGGAAAUGACGAAGCCACGCCCACUUCCGGAGAAGCAGCGUCUGCUGGCGGCAUCCAACCAGCAAUGGCUGCAGGCGGCUCAGGAGCUCCUUGGCCGCCAUUCCCCGCGCUCUGUGCUGUGGGCUCUGAGUCACAUGACCAAGGAAUCCAUCCGGGAGCUGCAGGCCCCGCCCAGGAGUGAGGACAUUGAACCCAAUGGGGAGCAGGGAGCUCCGCCCACCAUAGAGACCCUCAAUUUAGGAUUGUUGGAACACAGUGGGGGGGCUUUGGGCCCUGGCCCCCCCCAUAGCGGCUCGGCUGCCCCACAUGAGACAACGACUGCGGGACAUACAGGAACAGAUGGGGGAGGAGACAAGGUCUGACCCAUAAGUGACACCCCAGCCCCAUAAGUGACCACAUAGACCCAUAAGUGACCCCAUAGACCUAUAAGUGACACCCCAGCCCCAUAAGUGACCCCAUAGACCCAUAAGUGACCCCAUAGACCCAUAAAUGACCCCAUAGACCCAUAACUGCCCCCCCAAACCCAUAAAUAACCCCCAGCCCCAUAACUGUCCCCCCAGCCCCAUAAGUGCCCCACCCCAGCCCCAUAAGUGACCCCAUAGACCCAUAACUGCCCCCCCAGCCCCAUAACUAGCCCCCAGCCCCAUAAGUGCCCCCCCCCAGCCCCAUAAGUGACCCCAAAGACCCACAAGUGACACCCCAUACCCAUAAAGUGCCUUUCCAGCCCCAUAAGUGACCCCACCAGCCCCAUAUGUGUCCUUCCAGCCCCAUAAGUGACCCCUUCAGCCCCAUAAGUUACCCCCCAGCCCCAUAGGUGCCCUUCCAGCCCCAUAAGUGCCCCCCCCCAGCCCCAUAAGUGCCCUUCCAGCCCCAUAAGUGACCCACCAGCCCCAUAAGUGACACCUUCAGACCCAUAAGUGACACCUUCAGCCCCAUAAGUGCCCUUCAAGCCCCAUAAGUGCCUUUCCAGCCCCAUAAGUGACACCUUCAGCCCCAUAAGUGACACCUUCAGCUCCAUAAGUGACCUACAAGCCCCAUAAGUGCCUUCCCCAGCCCCAUAAGUGACCUCCCCAGCCCCAUAAGUGCCCUUCCAGCCCCAGAAGUGCCCUUCCAGCCCCAUAAGUGACCCCCCCAGCCCCAUAAGUGCCUUUCCAGCCCCAUAAGUGACCCCUUCAGCCCCAUAAGUGCCCCCCCAGGCCCCAUAAGUGACCUUCUAGCCCCAUAAGUGCCCCCUUCAGCCCCAUAAGUGACCCCCCCUGCCCCAUAAGUGCCCUUCCAGCCCCAUAAGUGCCC
Coturnix japonica (Japanese quail) is the source of this 2220-nucleotide long non-coding RNA. Ensembl lists it as uncharacterized. The record is from Ensembl. NCBI's taxonomy places the organism in Eukaryota, Metazoa, Chordata, Aves, Galliformes, Phasianidae.